This 301-nucleotide ribosomal RNA is filed under the name uncultured bacterium. RNAcentral's name for it is "partial 16S ribosomal RNA". It matches the Rfam family "Bacterial small subunit ribosomal RNA", at positions 509 to 807 of the family's 1533-position model. The record is from RNAcentral.
CAGUAGCCGCGGUAAUACGUAGGUGGCAAGCGUUGUCCGGAAUUAUUGGGCGUAAAGCGCGCGCAGGUGGUUUAAUAAGUCUGAUGUGAAAGCCCACGGCUCAACCGUGGAGGGUCAUUGGAAACUGUUAAACUUGAGUGCAGGAGAGAAAAGUGGAAUUCCUAGUGUAGCGGUGAAAUGCGUAGAGAUUAGGAGGAACACCAGUGGCGAAGGCGGCUUUUUGGCCUGUAACUGACACUGAGGCGCGAAAGCGUGGGGAGCAAACAGGAUUAGAGACCCGUGUAGUCCCUGUCUCUUAUAC